UUUGUUUUUAGGUUGUUUGAUCUUCAAUUGAAAAUGGGAUCAUUUUUGUUGAGUAGUUUCUGAAUUUUAUUGUGAUAGCUUACAAUGAUUUUGCCUUAUUUUAUAAUGGGAAAUGAAAAAUAGAAAAUGAUUAUAAGCCUUUAGCAACCCAUCAUUUCUAGUUGUUAUAAUCACUUUACUUCCAUGCAUCUAACUAAUGGA
RNAcentral lists this long non-coding RNA (201 nucleotides) under Panax ginseng (ginseng). RNAcentral describes it as "long non-coding RNA (PGIN_LNC015311)". The record is from RNAcentral. Lineage: Eukaryota; Viridiplantae; Streptophyta; Magnoliopsida; Apiales; Araliaceae.